UCAUUUCUUCUUAAGUCGACAAUGAAAAAUGAUGGGCUUCUUAUGAACUUGCUCAUUCUAUUUCUUUACAGCCCAGAUCAAGUCCACUUUUGCAACUUCCAUCAUCUCUGUCGCAUCCCAUCUACUUCGUCUUCUCCGUUACAGCUAUCCAUCCUAUCAAUCAUUUGUGUUCUUUACUUCUCUCUUUAUGGAUUCUUUUCACCUCCCUUUCUUUCUCCUCAUGAAUAAAUGGCUAAAAAGUUUCGUAAUUUCGUCUAAACUUACUUCCAAGCAACCCCGAAAGCCUACUUUGAAGAGCCUGAAGCUAUGGCGAUGAACAGGUACGCCUCUUCUUUCUAAUCUGGCUUUUUCCUUUUCCGUUCGUCGACAUCUUCUACCUGACACACAUGGACAGGGCACUAUCGUACAAGGUUUCAUUAUCAAUGAAAACAACCCCUUAUCAGCAUUGCUCACAACUCGGUGCUGUCCUAGAUUGAAUGGAACUGCUUUUCCAUUGAUUCGAAGCGAUUCAGGUUUAAGCCCUCAAAGGAAACUGUGACGUGAAGGCGAUCUGUACGAUGUAUCCGGCCAUCUCAGGCUAAUUGAUGGCCAACAUUUCCCUAUACUUCAGACCUUUAAGCUUAAAGAAGGACCUUUUAUAAAUUAUCAAGUGCAUCCUAUGGUUAGCAGAGAACCAAAGCAAUGGUGCAUUAAUCAGUUCAACAGAGGUGACCAAGGUGGAGACUUUUACUGGCGAUAUCUUGGCAUGACUGUGUGAAGGAAAUGUCUCAGGUAUCUAGAGGAACUGUCCGUUCACCGACAAUGGCGACAAGGCUAAUCUUUGAUGUUGUGUUUCAUGUACUCUUCAGUCUCUUUGUUAUGUAGCUAAGUGCAUGUCUUCUUCUCUUUAUAUCUUUUUGCUUUCAGGAAGUUAAUAGAGAAAUCAGAUGAAUGGUCCCUAAAGGUAUUGUUUUUGUUGUUGUUGUCAUUGCAGUUGCAGUUGCUUUGUCGAUGACAAAGAAGAAAAGAAAGGGAGCAGAAGGAGAGUAUUGUUAAUGAUAUCAGAGAGUGUUGAAAAAUAUAAAACCAAAGUUAAAGAGUAUUCUACAUAUCACAAGGUCAGUCUCUCUAUCUCUUUCUCGAGAGAUCUAAUUUGAUACGUAAAACCAAUCUAAAACCAAAGUUAAAGAAUUAGCUAGACGGUAGUAAUUAUGCGUUUUAUAAUAAUUUAUAGAAAAAUAUUUAUAUGGUAAUUAGGCGAUAGGGAAAUUAUGCGUUUUAUAAAAAGAUUUAGAAAAUUAUUGAUUAUUUUUUCAAUAUCUAAACCUGUUUUUUUAUAUAAUAAAAUCGUUUAAAACAUUGUUAUGCCACCUCUAAUGGUUUUUAAGAGCAGUCUGUCAAACGAUCUUGGUGGAUUGAACUCAUCUGGUUUUAUGUUUUCAAAUUAACA
This is a long non-coding RNA of Brassica napus (rape), 1429 nucleotides long. RefSeq lists it as uncharacterized. The record is from RefSeq and is a predicted model, not a curated record. NCBI's taxonomy places the organism in Eukaryota, Viridiplantae, Streptophyta, Magnoliopsida, Brassicales, Brassicaceae. The transcript has 5 exons.